RNAcentral lists this transfer RNA (73 nucleotides) under Cavia porcellus (domestic guinea pig). It matches the Rfam family "tRNA". From Rfam's summary of the family: Transfer RNA (tRNA) molecules are approximately 80 nucleotides in length. Their secondary structure includes four short double-helical elements and three loops (D, anti-codon, and T loops). Further hydrogen bonds mediate the characteristic L-shaped molecular structure. tRNAs have two regions of fundamental functional importance: the anti-codon, which is responsible for specific mRNA codon recognition, and the 3' end, to which the tRNAs corresponding amino acid is attached (by aminoacyl-tRNA synthetases). tRNAs cope with the degeneracy of the genetic code in two manners: having more than one tRNA (with a specific anti-codon) for a particular amino acid; and 'wobble' base-pairing, i.e. permitting non-standard base-pairing at the 3rd anti-codon position. The record is from Rfam by way of RNAcentral. Lineage: Eukaryota; Metazoa; Chordata; Mammalia; Rodentia; Caviidae.
GGGGAUGCAGCUCUGUGGUAGAGCACUUGCCUAGCACACAGGGAGGUGCUGGGUUCAAUCCCCAGCAUCACAA